Long non-coding RNA from Oncorhynchus tshawytscha (Chinook salmon), 859 nucleotides. Lineage: Eukaryota; Metazoa; Chordata; Actinopteri; Salmoniformes; Salmonidae. The record is from Ensembl.
UGGGGACUGGGCCUGUAUCCUCAAAGCUUCUCAGAGCAGCAGUGCUGAUCUAGGAUCAGUUUAGCCACCAGGACUGGGGGACUGGGCCUGUAUCCUCAAAGCUUCUCAGAGCAGCAGUGCUGAUCUAGGAUCAGUUUAGCCACCAGGACUGGGGGACUGGGCCUGUAUCCUCAAAGCUUUCAGAGCAGCAGUGCUGAUCUAGGAUCAGUUUAGCCACCAGGACUGGGGGACUGGGCCUGUAUCCUCAAAGCUUCUCAGAGCAGCAGUGCUGAUCUAGGAUCAGUUUAGCCACCAGGACUGGGGACUGACUGAUUGCUAACAAUGGAUACAUGUUUUUAACACCAAAAACAAACCAAAGCUUCUCAGAGCAGCAGUGCUGAUCUGGGAUCAGUUUAGCCACCAGGACUGGGGGACUGGGCCUGUAUCCUCAAAGCUUCUCAGAGCAGCAGUGCUGAUCUGGGAUCAGUUUAGCCACCAGGACUGGGGGACUGGGCCUGUAUCCUCAAAGCUUCUCAAAGCUUCUCAGAGCAGCAGUGCUGAUCUGGGAUCAGUUUAGCCACCAGGACUGGGGGACUGGGCCUGUAUCCACAAAGCUUCUCAGAGCAGCAGUGCUGAUCUAGGAUCAGUUUAGCCACCAGGACUGGGGGACUGGGCCUGUAUCCUCAAAGCUUCUCAGAGCAGCAGUGCUGAUCUAGGAUCAGUUUAGCCACCAGGACUGGGGGACUGGGCCUGUUUCCUCAAAGCUUCUCAGAGCAGCAGUGCUGAUCUAGGAUCAGUUUAGCCACCAGGACUGGGGGCCUGGGUAUCCACAAAGCUUCUCAGAGCAGCAGUGCUGAUCUAGGAUCAGUUUAACCACCAG